UUUCUUGGUCAUUUAGAGGAAGUAAAAGUCGUAACAAGGUCUCCGUAGGUGAACCUGCGGAGGGAUCAUUACACAAAUAUGAAGGCGGGCUGGAAUCUCUCGGGGUUACAGCCUUGCUGAAUUAUUCACCCUUGUCUUUUGCGUACUUCUUGUUUCCUUGGUGGGUUCGCCCACCACUAGGACAAACAUAAACCUUUUGUAAUUGCAAUCAGCGUCAGUAACAAAUUAAUAAUUACAACUUUCAACAACGGAUCUCUUGGUUCUGGCAUCGAUGAAGAACGCAGCGAAAUGCGAUAAGUAGUGUGAAUUGCAGAAUUCAGUGAAUCAUCGAAUCUUUGAACGCACAUUGCGCCCUUUGGUAUUCCAAAGGGCAUGCCUGUUCGAGCGUCAUUUGUACCCUCAAGCUUUGCUUGGUGUUGGGCGUCUUGUCUCUAGCUUUGCUGGAGACUCGCCUUAAAGUAAUUGGCAGCCGGCCUACUGGUUUCGGAGCGCAGCACAAGUCGCACUCUCUAUCAGCAAAGGUCUAGCAUCCAUUAAGCCUUUUUUCAACUUUGACCUCGGAUCAGGUAGGAUCCCCGGGCUCCG
Molecule: ribosomal RNA, 585 nt
Filed under: Alternaria sp. ZJ9-6B
Lineage: Eukaryota; Fungi; Ascomycota; Dothideomycetes; Pleosporales; Pleosporaceae
Description: eukaryotic LSU rRNA
Rfam family: 5.8S ribosomal RNA (bases 237-390)
Source: RNAcentral